This 449-nucleotide long non-coding RNA is filed under the name Gallus gallus (chicken). RNAcentral describes it as "long non-coding RNA NONGGAT012025". Lineage: Eukaryota; Metazoa; Chordata; Aves; Galliformes; Phasianidae. The record is from RNAcentral.
CUGUCUUAGACAGCGGCUAACCGAAAGCUCUGCCCUAGAGGUUCUGUGCCCUGGAAUCUAUCGAGGGAACAGCAGAAGACAGAUUUAUCCCAAAGACAGAACAGGAAAGCUUCAUCCAAUCAGUCCCUGAUGCUGACAGUGACAGAUGGAGAAGGGGACUGCAAGUUGCAAACACCAGGAAACAGUCCAGAAAAUGGACUUGAGGACUUCACUAAGAUGCAGCUAGCUUAAGUGCCUGAAGUACCAGACAACCCUGGAGCUACAGGAAGAUAAACGCUAGAACUGGCCAAUUAAAAGGGAAGACCAUACAGAAGAGAAGUGCACAUGCUUGCUCUCCUGACCCGAAACAUCCUGGCAGGCAGUCUGAAGAAAGAAGGAAUGGAAGGCAUCAGUAAGUAAGACUCAGUAUGUUGGAGCUCGGCAGCCAAGUUACUGGGCCAUAAAGCAUU